Molecule: long non-coding RNA, 621 nt
Filed under: Populus tremula
Lineage: Eukaryota; Viridiplantae; Streptophyta; Magnoliopsida; Malpighiales; Salicaceae
Description: long non-coding RNA (PTRE_LNC003139)
Source: RNAcentral
GGGGGUCUGCAACGACCUCCUUCCCCUUUCUUUCCUCGCCGGCGCCGACCUGCAGUAACAACAGAAAACCCAACAAAGCAGUCGAUUUUAAUUUUUGUUCUUUGUUUUCAAUUUAUUUCUCUUCCUCUUCGUUUCGGGUCUGCUUCCCUCCGCCGAUCUGUUCUUGUUUCUUCUUCUUCUCCGGUGGCUGAUCGUCGUGGACGAGGAGACGAUCUGGUGAUGGGGAGGGCUGGAUGUUGGAGGAGGAUGGCGCUGCUGCCCGGGGAGCAGAUCUGCCCUCCUUUGGUCUUGGCGAGCUGGCGGCUGGAGAAGGGAGCAGCUGAGAGGGGAAGAUGCCCACGAUCGGGCUGGCUGCUAGGUCUUCGACGAGGACGGCUGGUUCGGGUGAAGGCUGAGCUGGGUUUGUCCGUGGUCGUUGAAGCCGCGGUGGAGACGGGCGAAGGAGAAGAAACCCACGGGUCCAAACUGGGGGAACAACAGUCGUCUUCAACAGGAAAAGGGAAGCUUCGGCUGAGGGAAGAUCGGUGCUGUGGGCGUUGUUGCUGCUGACGGAGGCGAGCUUGUCCGGUGUUGGAGGAAAGGAUGGCAGUGGGAUCGCCGGAGGGGAAGGAAGAAGAAAAA